RNAcentral lists this ribosomal RNA (824 nucleotides) under unidentified microorganism. RNAcentral's name for it is "bacterial SSU rRNA". It matches the Rfam family "Bacterial small subunit ribosomal RNA", at positions 53 to 889 of the family's 1533-position model. The record is from RNAcentral.
ACAUGCAGUCGAACGGGUGUAGCAGUACACUAGUGGCGCACGGGUGCGUAACGCGUAACCAACCUGCCCUUGACUGGGGGAUAGCCCGCCGAAAGGCGGAUUAAUACCGCAUAAACUAGCAACUCGGCAUCGAGUAACUAGUAAAGAUUUAUUGGUCAAGGAUGGGGUUGCGUGACAUUAGCUAGUUGGCGGGGUAAGGGCCCACCAAGGCGACGAUGUCUAGGGGAGCUGAGAGGCUGAUCCCCCACACUGGCACUGAGAUACGGGCCAGACUCCUACGGGAGGCAGCAGUAGGGAAUAUUGGGCAAUGGGCGAGAGCCUGACCCAGCCAUGCCGCGUGCCGGAUGAAGGCCUUCUGGGUUGUAAACGGCUUUUCUCAGGGAAGAAAACGACCAUGCGUGGUACACUGACGGUACCUGAGGAAUAAGCACCGGCUAACUCCGUGCCAGCAGCCGCGGUAAUACGGAGGGUGCAAGCGUUGUCCGGAUUUAUUGGGUUUAAAGGGUGCGUAGGUGGUUUGAUAAGUCCGGGGUGAAAGCCCACAGCUCAACUGUGGAACUGCCCUGGAUACUGUCAGACUUGAGGGUAGACGAGGUUGGCGGAAUAGAAGGUGUAGCGGUGAAAUGCAUAGAUACCUUCUAGAACCCCGAUUGCGUAGGCAGCUGACUAGGCUACACCUGACACUGAGGCACGAAAGCGUGGGGAGCGAACAGGAUUAGAUACCCUGGUAGUCCACGCCGUAAACGAUGGAUACUCGCUGGUGGCGAUAGACAGUCACUGGCUUAGCGAAAGCGGUAAGUAUCCCACCUGGGGAGUACGCUCGC